GGACGGGGUUGGGGGGAAUUACCAUUAGCAGUUGAAGUGGUAGGAAAUUUUUACAUAGGAGAGUAUGGUGAUCAUAUUUGCAUUUUAGAAAAUAAUGGAUAGCAGUUUGUUAGGGGAACAAAGGACAGAGACAGGGAGACUAUUUAAAACAUUAAUAAAAAAUACCAGUGACAGAUGAUGAGGCACCUACCUGAUGGGAAUGGAGAAGAGGAGAUGGAUUCAGAAACUACUUAGGAGAGGCAGGCAGUCCAAGGCUGAUGCCCAAAGAAGCCAUCAAGACCCGUGCUACUUCCAGCUCCUUCUGUCCUCAUAAUCAUAGAUGAUUGCUCCACAUCCAGGGUGGAAUGCAAUGGUAUGAACACAAGGCUCACUACAACCUCUACCUCCUGGGCUCAAGCGAUCCUCUCACCACAGCCUCCUGAGUAGCUAGGACUACAGCACCUAACACCAGUACUCAGUUAAAUUUUUUGCUGAAUAAAUCAAUGAAUGGAGAGGUAAAGAGGAACCAGAAGUUGGGGUUACAGAAGUCACUGAUGGAAGAGUUUCAAGAUAGUAGAAGUGGUCAGCCCUGUUAAGUGACAAGCCAAGGACUGAAGAAAGACUGGCAGAUUUGGCAAUCAGAUGAAGUGACCUGACCAAAGAGCAGCUUGUGUGAAGUAGUGAGGACAGGCGCUGGUCUGCGACUGGUUUAGGAGGAAAUGGAAAUGAAGAAGAAGAGAUAGGAAAGUGGAGAUUAUAUGAUGACAAGUAUCAAGAUAAAAAUGAACACAUUUGGCCUGCUACCUGAAUUUUUUAAAUCGGCUCACCAAAAAAUAUCAGGCUUAUUGAAAUAUUGGAAUAUCUGAUGAAGUUUCCUCUUAUCUUUGAGCUGUUUGGGUUUGGGUAAAAUUUCAAUGCUUAAAAUUCACGUCUACAACUAGCAGGCAGAACCUUAAAGUCCAGAACCAUUAAAGGGUUUAAUAAUGGUGAGGCAUAUGAUGAUGCUGAUGAUGAUAAUGUUUCUUUCUUUCUUUUGUGAUCUUAAUCACUGUGUGAUCUUAACUAGUUUGAAAUGAGAAUUUCAAUGGAGACAGUAGUGUAAAUUUACCAACAGAACAAUUACAGUCGUGACAAAACAAAAACUAUACAAGCAUAUUUUUGUUCAUUCUAUAAAUUUGUACUGAGUACUUUAUAUACACUAGGCAUUCUGACAGAUAUAAUUAUGUGGGUAUAAAAUUUAGUUUAUUUGAUAGUUGCUUUCCCCACCGCCUCCAGAAAUUCUUGAUUUAGUUGGUAAAGAAAAUCAGUUAAGCAAAUAAGUUCACUAUUUGUAGAAGUGUAGAUGGGUUAUGGUGGGGGCACAAAAUAAUAAAAUAAUGUAUUUAAAACUAUUUUCACAUCUGUGAAAAGCUCUAUACAUCUGUGGCAUUAAGACUAAAGAGAAUGGUAUCAAGUCAUAGCUGCUUUCUAGAAAACAUGCAUGAGACAUUUAGGACCUCUGCAUAUUACCACUGAGUUGUUUUUCUUUUAAGGGGCUACAAAGGAGUAUGUUCAGCAUGAUCUUAUUUUUAUUAAAAUUAUACUUUCUAUACAGAAAAAGACUAUAAAAAUACACACUUAAAACAUUAGCAGUGACCCACAGCUAGUAUCAUACUGAAUGGGGAAUAACUAAAAGCCUUUUCUCCAUGAUCUAGAACACAACAAAAAUGCCCAUUUUUACCACUAUUAUUCAACUUAGUACUGGAAGUUCUAGCUAGGGCAAUCAGACACGAGAAUGAAAUAAAAUGCAUCCAAAUUUGAAAGGAAGAAGUGAAA
RNAcentral lists this long non-coding RNA (1794 nucleotides) under Homo sapiens (human). RNAcentral describes it as "HSALNT0303073". Lineage: Eukaryota; Metazoa; Chordata; Mammalia; Primates; Hominidae. The record is from RNAcentral.